Molecule: ribosomal RNA, 253 nt
Filed under: uncultured bacterium
Lineage: Bacteria
Description: partial 16S ribosomal RNA
Rfam family: Bacterial small subunit ribosomal RNA
Source: RNAcentral
UACGUAGGGUGCGAGCGUUGUCCGGAAUUAUUGGGCGUAAAGAGCUUGUAGGCGGUUUGUCGCGUCUGCUGUGAAAAUCCGGGGCUCAACCCCGGACUUGCAGUGGGUACGGGCAGACUAGAGUGUGGUAGGGGAGACUGGAAUUCCUGGUGUAGCGGUGGAAUGCGCAGAUAUCAGGAGGAACACCGGUGGCGAAGGCGGAUCUCUGGGCCAUAACUGACGCUGAGGAGCGAAAGCAUGGGGAGCGAACAGG